Molecule: long non-coding RNA, 4428 nt
Organism: Equus caballus (horse)
Lineage: Eukaryota; Metazoa; Chordata; Mammalia; Perissodactyla; Equidae
Source: Ensembl
GUGAGGCGGGGUCCCUGCCACCUGCAGGACCACAGACUCCUUUCCUUUUUAGCUUGGAGGAAAUCCCGUCUCUUUUCUUGAUUCCUUCAGAGACACUACCUCUCUCCUGUUGCUAUAAAACACUGAGCAUAACUGGGCUUUCAGCUUUUGAAAAUCUGACUAUCUCAAAAAAAUUUCCACUAUCCAUUUAUAUAUUCCUCCACACCAGAGAGCACAUCCCAUGUCAGGCUGUGUGCUGGGAGGCCCCUGCCCAGGAGGGGCUUCCUGCGCAGCCACGAAGAUGCACUAGCUGGCUGCAAGCAUGACACUGCAAGGUUCUUGGGCAUACUGUCCACAGGCCAAGGGCCACCCAGUGGACUGAGGUGGCUUGACAAGUAUCAGAAGAGGAUAUGAUCUGCCGAUGUCACGUCCUGGCCUUUCCUCAAUGUCACAGCAGCAAAAUCCUGCCAUAGGACUUCUGUGGUUGUCGUUGUUUGCAUUCCCCCUGCCUUUGGAUGGGAGAACCAUGCUAGAAUAUUCGGGGCCCAGUUUGCAGAGCAUGGAAGGACCAAGGUGCUGAAACAUAGACUACGGGCAGGUGAAAUGGAGACUCUGCUUUGUGCUGAAAACUACCCUUGGCACACACACAAAAAACAAGAUAAGUCUUUAAUAUGAGAAAGCAGCCAAGGAGAAUGACAUGGGAACAAAAUGGAAAUUACAAAGUAAGUGGUAGAAAAACAAAAGAAAACAAAAUCUGGAAUGCGACCUUAACCUAAUGACCCUCACUGGAAGAAAGUCAGAAGGAAACGGCGUGUUUCGGUGGACGUGGAGAAUUCAGGGGAUCUCUAAAAUAGGUACUCUCCUAUAUAGAGCAGUUCAACAUUUUGAUAUUUAAAAGAAAGAAUAGUAGAAAUAUUUAAAAGAAAUGCAUAUCCAUUAAACCCAGUAGUUCUGGAAGAUUAUAUCAGAACAUGAACAUUAUUUUGUCUUUUAAAAAUAUUUUUUAUAUCAAAAAAUCUUAGGAUAACAUAUAAAAUCAAAUGGGAAUAUAUGAGAAGUAGUUCAAGGUAGUUAUAAAAAAGAUAUUACAUAAAACUGAGUAUUGUUACUACAGCUAUGAAUUUAUAUUCCUAGAAGUUUAAGGUGCUUAGCAGACCAUAGGCUUUAUGCUGUCCAACUUUCCCAUCACUCACUGGAAUUUCUCUUAUAUUUAUGUUCUAUCUUGGCUCUUACAUACUGGCAGUGUAACCUUGAACAUCUAACUUCAUUUUCCAUAACCCUUGUUUCUGCAUUUGUGGAGAGGAAAAUUGCUUCCUCACAUGGCUUUUGGGAGGAUUGGAUAAAACCACGUUGGGUUCUUUGAGCAUCAGAUCCCAUCUUCCCCACAGACGUAACCCUAAACCUUCCCACCCAGGCAGCGUUUGAUGGGGCCGGAAAAGGGCACUCAAUCCAAGAGGGACCAUAAGUCCCUUCCCUGAGAAUCUGGGACAGGAAUGAAGAGAAGCAUUUAGUCUCUCUCUCCUUUUCUAUUGCUGUAUCAUGUAAACUUGGAAAAUGCUAUCGACAACUGUUUUCUACCAUAGGGACUGGGAGCCAGAGACAUUUCAUUUGCAGUGUGAAGGGAGAGAGACGCAGAUACUCAGAGGGAGUCGGAGGCGAGAGGCAGAAAGGUGUAUCAGUUUCCCAGGGCAGCCGUGACAACGUGUCUUAGACUGCGAUGGCGUAAAACAAGAGAAGUUUAUUCUGUCACAGUUCCGGAGGCUAGUGGCUCAAAAUCCUGGCAGGGGCGUGCUCCCUCUGCGGGGUCCAGGGAGGGUCUGUCCAUGCCUUCCUCUCAGCGUCUACUGUUGCCCGCAGUCCUUGGUGUUCCUUGGUUUGUAAACACGUCACUGCGGUCUCCACCUCCAUCUUCACGUGGCGUUCUUCCCUCUGUGUCUGUCUGCGUCUCUCUCCUUUUCUUGUAAGGACAUCAGUCAUACUAGAUUAGGGCCCAGACUACUCCAGUAUGACAUCAUCUUAACUUGGUUACAUCUGCAAAGACCUUAUUUCCAAAUAAGAUCCUGUUCAUGGGUACCAGGGCUUAGGACUUCAACGUAUCUUUUGGGGGACACAAGUCAACCCCAACAGAAAGUGUUCUUGGAUUCUCUACUCCUCACCAGGCCCUGGCUCCAUCUCGAAGGCCCAGCUGUAUCCUGGCCUUUGCGUCCCUCGUGGUCCUCCAGUAAUAAAGUCCAUUGUUACGUGAGUUAGAGCUGAUUUGUGCUACUUAUUGUCAAGAGAGUCCUAAUUAAUGUGCUAGGCCUGGGCCAGCCCCGGUAUUGUUUCCUCUUAUCACAUGGAGACACACUGCAGCUUUUACAAUUUUUUUGCUAAAUGCCGAAGGGGCAGAGAGAGGACAAAUGUAAAAACAAUGCAACUAAUAAAUUGCGGGUUUCUAACCCAAUUCCCAUCCACUUUGAUCGGGCUUAUAUGCCCGUUCCACUGCACCUAAUCUCUAACGACAGCAUCUUCCAAACCCCACAUAGUGUUUCAUGAAAAAAUUCACCCCAAAGAUAGCUAUAUUUUAAAAUUUAUUUUUAUAAAACAUUACAGAUGAGGAAACUGAGACCUGGAUAGAUUAUCAACCUAUCCCAGGGUCCACAAUUCAACCCAGCAAACCCGAGACCAAAAACACAUUCUCUUCAUCCUGAUCACCACACCUCCUGAUUAAAUUCUGACGAUCAUACUCAACAUUAAGACAAAAUACUGAUGUGUUAUUUUAGAACAUCUACUGAAGAAAUCGUCUACAGACAGCCUCCUAUAUUAUAUACCAGGCACUAAACUCAGUGUUCCAGAGACGGGGACCACCACCAGCACUCUGCAAAGUACAUGCAUUAAAAUCAUUAUUGUCUUCAGAAAAGCAGAAAGCAGACUGUAAUUCAAUCAAGGGCCUACAUAGCCGGCUCUAUGCAAGAAACCAGCAAGAUCCUCACUCCCUAAUUCCAUGUUUCUAAGUGUUUUUCACCAGACCAUAUUUCCACUGAAUAUGCAAAUUUUAUUUUUGUGCCUCCAUUUGUUCUAAUCUGUGUUUUCUGAAAUAAACAUUUUAGUUAAAAAAACAUAUUAUGCAACAAAUGUGAAAAAGAAAUGAAGGGGGACUGUUUUAGAUUUAAAAAGACUUAAGAGACAGAACAAAAGAACAUGUGUGGGAUUUGUUUAGAUUCCGAUUCCAGCAAAACAAAUGUAGAAAGCAUUUUUGAGACAACCAGGGAAUUUUUACUAUGGGCUGAGGAUUAUGAUUCCAAGAAUUAUUGUUAAUUUUGUUAGGUGUGAUAAAUGGCCUCGUGAUUUUUUAAGAAAAUGUCCAUAAGUUUUAUAGAUCCAUUAGGAAGUAUGUAGGAGUAAAAUGACUAUGAAAUCUGUAUGUGCUUUAAAAUAUUAUAGUAAAGAGGGGAAAGAGAGAGCAAAUGUGACAAAGUCUUGAUGAUAACUUAAUCUAGGUUUUAUGGGAAUUUAUUCUACUACUCUUUCUACUUUUGUUUGAAAUUUUUCAAGGUAAAUCUAGAAAAUAUGUGUAGUACGAUACCAAUAGUAGUUACUACGUGACAACCUGUCUUUAUCAUGUGAUAAUAACAUAAACUCAAACAUGUGUUUUGCAUCAGACAAUUUCUCCAGUGAGUUGCUGGUGCUCUUGGGCAUGGCAGCGUAUUUUUUAUUCGAUAAAGUCUUUAAAGCAAAUCCAAGACACCAUGUCAUUUCACCCAGCCAUCCUUUGGGAUGGCUUGUUCAAAUCAGGAAAGAAAUGAAAAAUCACUACUGUUUUAUGAAGGUUUCACCCUGGUGCUGGCAGUUGGGGGUGGACAGUAAGUCAAGAAACUAAUAUAAACGUACCAGCUGGUGGUAGGUGCUAACAAGAAAAAUAAAGCAGGGUGAGGGAGCAGAGAAUGAUACAGUGGGCUGAAGUUUUACAUUGGGGUGGUCCGGGCACCCUUUCCUGUUGGGAUGUCAGAGCAGAGACCUGAACGAGCUGAGGAACAGGCCAUAUGGUCGCGUAGGGGAGGGUGCUCCAGACAGAGGGAACGGCACGUGCCCCUGAGUUUAGAGAGAGUGGCUGGGGGAGAGUAUUAGGUGAUGAGGUCAGAACGGUGCCCGGACCAGAUCAUGCAGGCCUGUGUUGGGGGUCCCCAACACCACCCCCGGGUUCGGUGAUUUGUAGGAUGCCUCACAGACUCAGCAUAUAGUCAUAGUCAUGGCCACGAUUUAUUACAGCAAAAGCAUCCAAAGCAAAGUCAGCAGAGACAAAGGGUGCAUGGGGCAAAGUUAGGGAAACCAGGUGUGAGCUUCCAGAGUCACACAGGACACGCUGGAUUCCCCCAGCACCGUGUGGUGACAACAUGCGUGAAGCGUUGUAACAGCACGAGUGAAGCGUUGUCUCCCAGGGAAACUCAUUAUAGACUCAGGGUCCAGAGU